This 366-nucleotide ribosomal RNA is filed under the name uncultured Glomeromycotina. Its description in RNAcentral is "LSU rRNA". Lineage: Eukaryota; Fungi; Glomeromycota. The record is from RNAcentral.
UUGAAAGGGAAACGAUUGAAGUCAGUCGUACCGACGAGAAAUCAACUUUUCGAAUGUGCAUUUGUGGGCGUAUGAGAUCUUCAUUGUUUACAAUAUGUAUGUUUCUUUGGUGUACUUUUUCGUAUGGUAGGUCAAUGUCGGUUUUGAUCGCCAUAAAAUGAUCGGAGGAAUGUAGCUUCGGCUUCGGUUGAAGUGUUAUAGCCUUUGGUAAAUGUGGUGAUUAAGACCGAGGAUUGCAACGAAUACCUUUUAGGCUAUCCGUCUGACCUCUGAAAGUUACUUAGGUGCCGAAAGCUUGCUUACGGUCAUUUAAGUUGACGGUCAAUAGGUUAGAACGUGAUUACAUUCGUUAAGGAUGUUGACGUA